GCAGCCGCGGUAAUACGGAAGGUCCAGGCGUUAUCCGGAUUUAUUGGGUUUAAAGGGAGCGUAGGCCGCCCCUUAAGCGUGUUGUGAAAUGCCGCGGCUCAACCGUGGCACUGCAGCGCGAACUGGGGGGCUUGAGUGCACGCAACGCAGGCGGAAUUCGUGGUGUAGCGGUGAAAUGCUUAGAUAUCACGAAGAACUCCGAUUGCGAAGGCAGCUUGCGGGAGUGCGACUGACGCUGAAGCUCGAAGGUGCGGGUAUCGAACAGGAUUAGAUACCCC
This 278-nucleotide ribosomal RNA is filed under the name uncultured bacterium. RNAcentral describes it as "partial 16S ribosomal RNA". It matches the Rfam family "Bacterial small subunit ribosomal RNA", at positions 511 to 788 of the family's 1533-position model. The record is from RNAcentral.